GUCGUUUUUCCUCCUCUCUCUCACUUUCUUCAUUCAUCACAGCACUGGAAGGUAACUGGUCAUUUCUGAAGGAUGUCUUCAACAACAAAUGGACUUGGCUUGUUCUUUAUCUUGUUUCUAUGUCAGUGUGGAGCAGGAGGCCCCGUCGUGCUCCAGCCCAGAGACCUCUUCUCCUUUCCUGGUAACACCAGUACCUCCGGUCCGGUCAUCCUGACGUGCUCCAUGGGCCCUGGCAUCAGCAUGUCCAGCUACACCAUGUACUGGUACCGACAGGUCCAAAUGGUCACCACAGUAUUAUUGGGGUCUGACUCUGUAGUUGGGGAAUACGCAUGCUAUUAAUGAGUCGAUUAACUGAUAUAAUUUAUAAAAACGUAAACCAGAAAUGUGUCUGGUGGAGGGGCGGGGCCACCUUUAUAACAUGCUGUGGUACCAACAGGUCCGCUACGGUGGCCCGGUAGAGUUCCUCAUAAAGGAAUACGAUGCCCCUACGGGCCAGUACCAGGUGACCUUGGACCCGACAGGGAACAGCUUCGUCCUGCAGGUCUCAGACCUGGUUGUGGAGGACACUGCUGUUUACUACUGCGCAGCCAG
Molecule: long non-coding RNA, 591 nt
Organism: Esox lucius (northern pike)
Lineage: Eukaryota; Metazoa; Chordata; Actinopteri; Esociformes; Esocidae
Source: Ensembl